Molecule: long non-coding RNA, 553 nt
Filed under: Eucalyptus grandis
Lineage: Eukaryota; Viridiplantae; Streptophyta; Magnoliopsida; Myrtales; Myrtaceae
Description: long non-coding RNA (EGRA_LNC000154)
Source: RNAcentral
UAAUUACCAGAACCGUCAGUAAUAGGUAUACACCGAGAUCAUUCCCUUUAGAAAUAAUAGCUUGUGUUGCGCGCCUAAAUUCAACGUCCUCAACAUCAUCAUCAUCUUACGAAAACAAUGAGAACAACAUGUUAAAUCAUAACAGAUCGAACGUGUUCGGGAAACUCCUAAAUCUAGAUUUAAAUUGAAAGAGAAAAGCUCUCAAAUUCAUAUCUCCACCUAAAUCGGGAUAGAAGAGCCUUCACCAAAUCUCAGAAAAGUCAUAGAAUCAUGUCUCGAAAAUCCUACUGGCUUGAUUGGUGACGAAGUUCUCACAAAAUUUUCAACUGUAAGCAAAUUUAUUCCCCAUGACGAGCGGAGAAAAGCAACAACAACGAGUGAAAGAAGAUGUUAAACAAGCCAAAAAAAGACACUGAAAUUAGGUCAGAAGAGAAGAGAAAAGAAAAAAAGAAAAAGAAAGAAAUCAAGGCCUAGAAAAAGAAAAGCAUAGCAAAGCAGGCUCUAGAGCUUCCGGGUGAAGUUUCUUCGAAGGAGUUUUUUUUAUGGAAGAGAG